GGUUUCAUUAACAUUUUAGUUUUACUGACUUCCUGUACACAGGCUGGAAACUACCGGAAGACUAAAAUUGCGCCAAAAUUCAUGAGAAUUUUGUGGGGUUUUUAGCAGCUGGCUUGUUGGAAUAUCUGCCCUGCUCAAAAAUGGCUCCAGUGGUUAUAAACAGGUGGUGGCAUGGCAGAAUGGUUUUGUGGCAACUGCAAGCAUAUGACAGCUUAAUUUUCUUCCACAAGGUUGUGAGGCCAGUUUGCAGGUGAUGCUAAAGGUAAUAAAUUUACAGCAGCAGCUGACACACAGGCAACACAUGCAGUGCCUUGUUAAUUGUCAAAAUAAAUGUUUCUGUGCCUCUUGUGCUGUAAUGUUAAACAGAUCUAUCAAUGUGAAGAAAG
Bombina bombina (fire-bellied toad) is the source of this 386-nucleotide long non-coding RNA. RefSeq lists it as uncharacterized. The record is from RefSeq and is a predicted model, not a curated record. Lineage: Eukaryota; Metazoa; Chordata; Amphibia; Anura; Bombinatoridae. The transcript is spliced from 4 exons.